RNAcentral lists this ribosomal RNA (1515 nucleotides) under Triticum aestivum (bread wheat). Its description in RNAcentral is "partial small subunit ribosomal RNA". Lineage: Eukaryota; Viridiplantae; Streptophyta; Magnoliopsida; Poales; Poaceae. The record is from RNAcentral.
AUGGGGGCCGAGCACCACUCGCCGUCGUCGGCCAAGACCUCCCCUCGCGGCUCCGGCGUGGGUGGCGGGGGCGAGCAGUACUCCCCGUCGACCAAGUCUCCGCGCGGUGGUGCCGGAGGCGGAGGCGAGCACUACUCCGCGUCGAGCAAGUCCCCGCGCGCUGGCGGCAUCGGCGGUGUCUCGUCCUUGCUCCCGAGCGGCGGCGUGUCGUCCCUGCUGCCGAGCGGCGCGGUGGCGACGCUGCUCGAGAGCAGGUGGACGCUCUCCGGCGCCAUCACCGUGUUCCUGUUCCUCGCCGUCACGCUCACCGUCACGACGUCGUCGUCGUCGCUGUCCCCCGUCUCGGCCUCCUUCUUCUCCUUCCUCCCGGCCGGCCGCGCCGCCCUCGUCGAGCCGCCGCAGGCCCAGCAGCAGCCGCAGGCCCCGCCGCCGCCUCCGCCCGGCGCCGGCGUGCCGCGGCUGGCGUACCUCGUGUCCGGGUCCAAGGGCGACCUGGACCGGCUGUGGCGCGCGCUGCACGCGCUCUACCACCCGCGCAACCUCUACGUGGUGCACCUGGACCGCGAGGCGCCCGUGGGCGAGCGGCUGGAGCUGGCGGCGCGGGUGGCCAACAGCACCGUCUUCCGCCGCGUCGGCAACGUGGAGGUGAUCCGCCGCGCCAACAUGGUGACCUACCGCGGGCCGACCAUGGUGGCCAACACCCUGCACGCCUGCGCCGUGCUCCUCCGCCGCAGCCGCGACUGGGACUGGUUCAUCAACCUCUCCGCCUCCGACUACCCGCUCAUGUCCCAGGACGAUGUGCUGCACGUAUUCUCGACGCUGCCGCGCAACGUCAACUUCGUCGAGCACACCAGCCGCCUCGGCUGGAAGGAGGGGCAGCGCGCGCAGCCGCUGAUCGUGGACCCGGGGCUGUACGCGUCGAAGAAGCAGGACAUCUUCUACGCGUCCGGGCGGCGGGAGCUGCCGACGGCGUUCCGGCUGUACACGGGGUCGGCGUGGGUGGCGCUGACGCGGGACUUCGCCGAGUACGUGGUGUGGGGGUGGGACAACCUGCCGCGGACGCUGCUCAUGUACUACGCCAACUUCGUGUCGUCGCCGGAGGGCUACUUCCAGACGGUGCUCUGCAACGCGCCCCGGUUCGUGCCCACCGUCGCCAACCACGACCUCCACCACAUCCAGUGGGACGUGCCGCCGCGCCAGCACCCGCACGCGCUCACGCUCGGGGACAUGGACCGCAUGGUGCGCAGCGACGCGCCGUUCGCGCGCAAGUUCGCGCGCGACGACCCCGUGCUCGACGCCAUCGACGCCCAGCUGCUGGGCGGCCGCGGCGGGAACGGCACGGCAGGGGCGGGGAUGUUCGUGCGGGGAGGCUGGUGCGGCGAGAACGGGGACUGCGAGGGCGCCGCCGGCGACGAGGACUGGGUGCUCCGGCCCGGGCCCGGCGCCGAGCGGCUGCGCAGGCUCAUGGACCGGAUCGUCAGGUCGGAGGCGUUCGCGAACCGCCAGUGCAAGUAG